This is a non-coding RNA of Potamilus streckersoni, 73 nucleotides long. The record is from the annotation of a GenBank genome assembly. NCBI's taxonomy places the organism in Eukaryota, Metazoa, Mollusca, Bivalvia, Unionida, Unionidae.
GCUCCGGUGGCCUAGUGGUUAGAGCGUCCGCCUCAGAUGCAGGAGGUUGUGGGUUUGAUCCCCGGUUGAGUCA